UGCAUUCAAUUAUCUGGCCUUUGCACAACCAAAUCAAGAAGCCCUCCCUUAAGAAUAACCAAAAAAACCAACAAUCGACCAAAUUAAGCAUAAUAAUAUGUACAUAUCAGAUCGAUUAAUAGUAGAGUCCAUCAUGAAGAAACCAAAUCAGCCGCAAACAUAUUAAAAAAUACAAAACAACUAAAAAUAAAUUGAUUGACCACAGAGCAGCUUCCUAAAACAGAAAAGAAGACUGCAAAGAAGACGAUGAACAACCGAGAAAUUUUUUCCAACAAAUUCAUUUAAUAAUCAAUCCCCACAAAAAAAUCCCUACAGGCGAACAACUAGAGCAGAAAAUCGGAUACUAGGGGAACAAAAGAAGUCAAAAUUGUGGGAAUCGUCAUCGUCGUGGAAUCGUCAUCGUCGUGGAGAAUCGACGGAGGAGAUUCGCUCUGAAACGGGUCUAGGCGGUGAUGGAACAGAUCUUCUUCUUCAACUUUGCUUAUAUUCAUUUUUGCAGAGACAGAUGAUGAUCUUUUAUAAUAUUUGGAAUUAGAUGAGGAAUUAGAUGAUUCUGGAGAUGAUGGAGAUGAUGGAGAUGGGGGAGAAGAUGAUGAUAGACAGUAGAUCUGUGGUUUG
RNAcentral lists this long non-coding RNA (618 nucleotides) under Panax ginseng (ginseng). Its description in RNAcentral is "long non-coding RNA (PGIN_LNC016421)". Lineage: Eukaryota; Viridiplantae; Streptophyta; Magnoliopsida; Apiales; Araliaceae. The record is from RNAcentral.